CUUAUAUCUGUGGCUAUAGGGAACAUCCUCAGUGGCUAGCUGGAGGGGGAAAAAACCCAAGUAUGGCUCACAGAUAGAUUAGGCUUGCAGUGUGGAUGCAAGCCACAAGUCGAUAGCAACAGUAUUACAACCUCUCUCAGUGGGGACUCAGAAGGCCAUGUCAUAUUGUUCCAGGCUCCACAUCCAAAGACAAAUGUCCUUCUAAGAGACACAGAGGAGACACAUGCUGGGAGAAAAGGCGAGGGCCAUGUGAAGACAGAGGCAGAUGGCAUGAUGCAGCCUCUAGAAUAUGGAAGUGAUAGGACUAGAUUCUCCCCUCAGACCUUGAUUGUGGA
This is a long non-coding RNA of Canis lupus familiaris (dog), 335 nucleotides long. RefSeq lists it as uncharacterized. The transcript has 3 exons. The record is from RefSeq and is a predicted model, not a curated record. Lineage: Eukaryota; Metazoa; Chordata; Mammalia; Carnivora; Canidae.